GUUGGUGGCAAAGGGAUAUAAUCAGAUUAAGGGUAUUGAUUGCAAGGAUAGGUUUUCUCCAGUAGUAAAAAUGGUUACAGUAAGAUUUUUUAUUGCUUUAGCUACUGCUAAGCAAUGGUCCAUAUUUCAACUUGAUAUAAAUAAUGCUUUUUUUCAUGGAUUCUUAAAUGAAGAAGUCUAUAUACUGCCACCUCAAGGGUAUGAUAAGGCUUUACCUGGUCAAGUUUGCUUGCUUAAGAGGUCUCUCUAGGGUCUCAAACAAGCCUCUCGAUAAUGGAAUAUUGAGUUUACUCAUUUCCUUACUUCAUUGGGUUUCAUUCAAUCAUAGCAUGAUCAUUGCUUGUUUAUUCAUGCUACCACUACUGUGUUUCUAGCCUUGCUUGUAUAUGUGGAUGAUGUUAUCAUCACUGGAACUUCUAUUGAUGCCAUUAAUGCUGUUAAACAUUCUCUUCAUGAGAAAUUCACAAUUAAGGAUUUAGGUUCACUAAAGUAUUUUUUAGGGCUUAAGGUAGCUAGAUCUGAUACUAGUACUGUUGUUGGCCAAAGAAAGUUCAUCUUAGAUCUCAUUGCAGAAACUGGCAUGUCUAUAGCAAAAUCUGUCAAUAAUCCUUUCCCUACAGGUUUUCGUUUCUCCGUUGAUUCUGGUGAUCUUUUACUAGAUCCUAAUCAGUGUCGCAGGCUCAUUGGGCAUUUAUUGUAUAUUAAUCUCACAAGGCCUGACAUAAGAUAUGUAGUCCAACAUCUCAACCAAUUCAUGACUGCACCUCGAACGCCACAUUGGGCAGCAGCUCUUCAUGUUAUUAAGUAUCUUGAAUCCUGUCCUUUUAAGGGCUUUUUUUUUUCCUGUCAAUAACUCAGAGUUAUUAACUCUUUGUAGCUCACUGCUUUUUGUGAUACAGGUUGGGCCUUUUGUGCCUUCAAUAGAAAGUCUCUCACUAGUUAUUGCAUCCUACUUGGAGGUGCUCUUGUAUCUUGGAAAACAAAGAAGCAAGCCACAAUGCCUAAAUCAUCUGCUGAGGUAGAAUAUAAAGCAAUGGCAAUAGCUUUUGUGGAUUUCCUACAUUUUGUCUGACUUUCAUGUGUCACUUAAGCUUCCCAUAUUCUUAUACUGUGAUAAUAAGGCUGCCUUACAUAUUGCUAGCAAUCCUAUUUUCCAUGAGCGUACCAAGCAUCUGGAUAUUGAUUAUCACAUAGUUCGUGAACAAUUAAAAAGAGGCUUCAUUCAUCCAGCACAUGUUUCUUCUUCUGAGCAAUUGGCUGAUGUCUUCACCAAGUCUUUGUCUUCUCCAGCUCAUUCUUACUUAAUUUUCAAGUUGUCUCUUGUGGACAUUCUGCCACCAGAUCCAACUUGAGGGGGCGUUGUAAAGAGACUUAGUUACUUAGUGUAGUUACUCUUUAGUUAGACAGCUCACUUAUUUUCCAGCUGGCAUUCUUGUAUAAAUAGACUCUUCUCUUGUUAGUUUCUUAAUGAAUAAGAGUGCUUCAGUUCAUUUUACUUGUUUUUCUUU
This 1508-nucleotide unclassified non-coding RNA is filed under the name Hevea brasiliensis (rubber tree). Lineage: Eukaryota; Viridiplantae; Streptophyta; Magnoliopsida; Malpighiales; Euphorbiaceae. The record is from RNAcentral.